UUUUUUGAGAGUUUGAUCCUGGCUCAGGACGAACGCUGGCGGCGUGCCUAACACAUGCAAGUCGAACGGGGUUGAGUGCUUCGGUAUUCAACCUAGUGGCGAACGGGUGAGUAACGCGUGAAGAACCUGCCUUUCAGUGGGGGA
Molecule: ribosomal RNA, 144 nt
Filed under: Clostridiales bacterium
Lineage: Bacteria; Bacillati; Bacillota; Clostridia; Eubacteriales
Description: partial 16S ribosomal RNA
Rfam family: Bacterial small subunit ribosomal RNA
Source: RNAcentral